This 397-nucleotide ribosomal RNA is filed under the name uncultured bacterium. Its description in RNAcentral is "partial 16S ribosomal RNA". It matches the Rfam family "Bacterial small subunit ribosomal RNA", at positions 523 to 918 of the family's 1533-position model. The record is from RNAcentral.
AUACGUAGGGGGCGAGCGUUGUCCGGAAUUACUGGGCGUAAAGGGCGUGUAGGCGGCCGACUAAGUCUGGAGUGAAAGUCCUGUUUUCAAGGUGGGAAUUGCUUUGGAUACUGGUUGGCUUGAGUGCGGAAGAGGUAAGUGGAAUUCCCAGUGUAGCGGUGAAAUGCGUAGAGAUUGGGAGGAACACCAGUGGCGAAGGCGACUUACUGGGCCGUAACUGACGCUGAGGCGCGAAAGCGUGGGGAGCGAACAGGAUUAGAUACCCUGGUAGUCCACGCUGUAAACGAUGAAUGCUAGGUGUUGCGGGUAUCGACCCCUGCAGUGCCGGAGUAAACACAAUAAGCAUUCCGCCUGGGGAGUACGGCCGCAAGGUUGAAACUCAAAUGAAUUGACGGGG